Molecule: ribosomal RNA, 421 nt
Filed under: Salmonella enterica subsp. arizonae serovar 62:z36:- str. 5335/86
Lineage: Bacteria; Pseudomonadati; Pseudomonadota; Gammaproteobacteria; Enterobacterales; Enterobacteriaceae
Description: bacterial SSU rRNA
Rfam family: Bacterial small subunit ribosomal RNA
Source: RNAcentral
UUAAAUUGAAGAGUUUGAUCAUGGCUCAGAUUGAACGCUGGCGGCAGGCCUAACACAUGCAAGUCGAACGGUAACAGGAAGCAGCUUGCUGCUUCGCUGACGAGUGGCGGACGGGUGAGUAAUGUCUGGGAAACUGCCUGAUGGAGGGGGAUAACUACUGGAAACGGUAGCUAAUACCGCAUAAUGUCGCAGGACCAAAGAGGGGGACCUUCGGGCCUCUUGCCAUCAGAUGUGCCCAGAUGGGAUUAGCUUGUUGGUGAGGUAACGGCUCACCAAGGCGACGAUCCCUAGCUGGUCUGAGAGGAUGACCAGCCACACUGGAACUGAGACACGGUCCAGACUCCUACGGGAGGCAGCAGUGGGGAAUAUUGCACAAUGGGCGCAAGCCUGAUGCAGCCAUGCCGCGUGUAUGAAGAAGGCC